Long non-coding RNA from Salvelinus fontinalis (brook trout), 542 nucleotides. RefSeq lists it as uncharacterized. The record is from RefSeq and is a predicted model, not a curated record. Lineage: Eukaryota; Metazoa; Chordata; Actinopteri; Salmoniformes; Salmonidae. The transcript has 3 exons.
GUAGAGGAGUUCAUGGCCAAAGAAGACAACAACUUUCAAAUGAAAACAGAGCAACCUUAGUUGAUCAUGUCAUCAACCAUGGGCUGACAAUGCGAGAGGCUGGACAGAGAGUGCAGCCCAACUUGAGCCGUUUUACUGUCGCCUGUGUCAUCCGGACAUUUAGACUGGAGUACAGGACUGAGAGACGCAACCAUGGUGGAGGAAGGGGCCAAAUGUUCACCGGGGUACAGGAAGCUGCCAUUGUAAACUUGGUUUUGGAAGAUAAUGAAAUUAGAUUACGAGAUAUUCAAAGCCACAUCAUCCAAGACAACACCAUAUUCAACAACAUUCAACGAGUCAGUCUGUCCACAUUGGCUCGCAUUCUCAAGCGAAACCAAAUCAGAAUGAAACAACUUUAUAAGGUGCCGUUUGAGAGAAACUCUCAAAGAAACAAAGAGGUCAGACGAGCAUAUGUGGAUGGAGUACUGGAAAUGGAUGCUCAUGCAAUCCCACAUGAGUUUAUCUUAAUAGAUGAGGCUGGAUUCAACCUAACAAAGACCAGA